UGGAAGUAAAAGUCGUAACAAGGUCUCCGUUGGUGAACCAGCGGAGGGAUCAUUACAGGACGUAACACUCCCGUAAACCACUGUGAACCUUACCUAUCGUCGUUGCCUCGGCGGGUGCCUCCGGGCGCCCGCCGCAGGCCUACAACUCUUGUCUAUGAAGUUAGCAUCUCCGAGCAAACAGCAAACGAGUUAAAACUUUCAACAACGGAUCUCUUGGUUCUGGCAUCGAUGAAGAACGCAGCGAAAUGCGAUAAGUAAUGUGAAUUGCAGAAUUCAGUGAAUCAUCGAAUCUUUGAACGCACAUUGCGCCCGCCGGCACUCCGGCGGGCAUGCCUGUUCGAGCGUCAUUUCAACCCUCAGGCCCGGCCUGGCGUUGGGGUCCUGCGUCGCAGGCCCCUAAAGACAGCGGCGGUUGCGGCCCGGAGCCGAGCGCAGUAGCAUACUAUUCGCUCCGGUACCGGGUGGCAGUCCGGCCGUAAAACAAACCACUAUGCACUGGUUGACCUCGGAUCAGGUAGGAAUACCCGCUGAACUUAAGCAUAUCAAUAASCCGGAGGAAA
RNAcentral lists this ribosomal RNA (560 nucleotides) under fungal sp. RNAcentral's name for it is "eukaryotic LSU rRNA". Lineage: Eukaryota; Fungi. The record is from RNAcentral.